This is a long non-coding RNA of Andrographis paniculata, 846 nucleotides long. RefSeq lists it as uncharacterized. The record is from RefSeq and is a predicted model, not a curated record. NCBI's taxonomy places the organism in Eukaryota, Viridiplantae, Streptophyta, Magnoliopsida, Lamiales, Acanthaceae. The transcript has 2 exons.
UGUUGUUCUUGAUAUCGACGCCGUGUAAGGUACAUUAAGAACUACAUGACCUGUUCACCUAACUAACCAUGCUUGGCUGCUUCUUCUACAGAUGAAUGGCUCAACUCACAUAUUGCUCAUGCAUUGCCAUGUGGCAUAACUUUUUGACCUUGGCGGUUAUGUAUCUGACAAGUUUGGGAAUCUGUGAGCUGAAGUGAUGAUGAAUUACUUUGGAAAAAAUGAUGCAGCUGUAUCAGAAGGGUGUCUGACUGACUAACUGCCUGUUGAACUGAAGAAUUAAUGCGCAGUUCAGUAAGUUGGUUAUUGGGUCUGAACCAGAGUAGAUUCUUUUACCAAACAACUUAAAAUUGUUGUUGAGACAUUGUUUGAUUUAAAUCUUUAUAUUCAAGUCCUCAUUUCCCUGGAUCAGCAAUGUUGUGCUUAUCAAUUGAGAUUUCCUUACAGGAUUAUUGUUAUGCAAAUUGCUGUUUGAAUGCCUAUUGGUUCAUGUGUAUAUAUAUAUGUCCUUGUGCAGAAACAUCUGUUGUGUACUAACAUAUGAUAUUGGAUGAAAAAUAAAGAUACAUUACAUUGUUGACCAUAUUCAUCAUAGAGAAAUAUGAACCCAACUAUAAUAAAUACUGCUAACUACUCUUAAGCUAGACAACAUGCAUAUAUAUAUAAAAAUAUAUAUGUGUCUGUUUUGCCUAACAUUGCCCAUCUUCAUCAAAGAAGACAGACUCAAGCUGUGUAAUAAUAAAUAACACCUAACCACUCUGUAAAACAUACAAACACCGGCGGGCGUGUAAAGUUCAACACUAAAAGUGACAAACAGAUGAAAAAAUGUAAAGAAAAAUCGAUGCAGCU